Molecule: ribosomal RNA, 488 nt
Filed under: uncultured bacterium
Lineage: Bacteria
Description: bacterial SSU rRNA
Rfam family: Bacterial small subunit ribosomal RNA
Source: RNAcentral
GACGAACGCUAGCUACAGGCUUAACACAUGCAAGUCGAGGGGCAGCGGGAUUGAAGCUUGCUUCAAUUGCCGGCGACCGGCGCACGGGUGAGUAACGCGUAUCCAACCUUCCGUACACUCAGGGAUAGCCUUUCGAAAGAAAGAUUAAUACCUGAUGGUAUCUUAAGCACACAUGUAAUUAAGAUUAAAGAUUUAUCGGUGUACGAUGGGGAUGCGUUCCAUUAGGUAGUAGGCGGGGUAACGGCCCACCUAGCCAACGAUGGAUAGGGGUUCUGAGAGGAAGGUCCCCCACAUUGGAACUGAGACACGGUCCAAACUCCUACGGGAGGCAGCAGUGAGGAAUAUUGGUCAAUGGGCGCAGGCCUGAACCAGCCAAGUAGCGUGAAGGAUGAAGGUCCUACGGAUUGUAAACUUCUUUAUAAGGGAAUAAACCCUUCACGUGUGGGAGCUUGUAUGUACCUUAUGAAUAAGCAUCGGCUAACUCCGUG